UACGUAGGGUGCGAGCGUUGUCCGGAAUUAUUGGGCGUAAAGAGCUCGUAGGCGGCCUGUCGCGUCGGUUGUGAAAGCCCGGGGCUUAACCCCGGGUCCGCAGUCGAUACGGGCAGGCUAGAGUUCGGUAGGGGAGAUCGGAAUUCCUGGUGUAGCGGUGAAAUGCGCAGAUAUCAGGAGGAACACCGGUGGCGAAGGCGGAUCUCUGGGCCGAUACUGACGCUGAGGAGCGAAAGCGUGGGGAGCGAACAGG
Molecule: ribosomal RNA, 253 nt
Filed under: uncultured bacterium
Lineage: Bacteria
Description: partial 16S ribosomal RNA
Rfam family: Bacterial small subunit ribosomal RNA
Source: RNAcentral